Molecule: small nuclear RNA, 154 nt
Filed under: Schizophyllum commune H4-8
Lineage: Eukaryota; Fungi; Basidiomycota; Agaricomycetes; Agaricales; Schizophyllaceae
Description: U4 spliceosomal RNA
Rfam family: U4 spliceosomal RNA (bases 1-128)
About the family: U4 small nuclear RNA (U4 snRNA) is a component of the major U2-dependent spliceosome. The structure of U4 snRNA from yeast and human has been reported. U4 snRNA presents a k-turn RNA motif in the 5p-SL related to recognition of Snu13 protein.
Source: Rfam by way of RNAcentral
AUCUUUGUGCUCGGGCAUGUACGCUCACCAGUGAAGUUCCGACUGAGGUAGCGUCUUUUGCUGAUUGCAAAUUAAUUUCCGACUCGUUUGGUUGCUUCGGCUUCCAGCAAUUUUUGGAAACCCCCUUCCACCUCCCCCUCUUUCGUAUCUGAGG